RNAcentral lists this ribosomal RNA (1310 nucleotides) under Modiolus modiolus (northern horsemussel). Its description in RNAcentral is "16S ribosomal RNA". The stretch from base 795 to 1184 matches the Rfam family "Bacterial large subunit ribosomal RNA", at positions 2073 to 2647 of the family's 2925-position model. Lineage: Eukaryota; Metazoa; Mollusca; Bivalvia; Mytilida; Modiolidae. The record is from RNAcentral.
AGAAGAUGGAUGAAUGUCUCAGCCCCACUUUUUGUUGAAUUAAUCACUGUGAAGGAAAAUUAAAAUAGUAGUAGAACCAGUUAAUUUGGGUACCUUUUGUAUAAGCGUUGGUCUAGAAAUACAAAAUAGAGUUAUUUUUGUCUCGAGAAGAAAAAAUUUAUUUGUUUAUAAGGUCUAACGUGGCAUAGUUAGAAGUAAUAGGCAAAUAAUGGCUAUAUACUAUACUGCUUUUUUUGCUAUCUAGUUUUUCCUAAAAUAUAUUUAGUGUAGCAUCUCAAGUGUUGUGGUAGUUAUAGGCAUUAAGAUAAGUUAGUGUCUUGAAUGACGUUGAGUAAAACAGUAAGUAAGCAGGUUAAGUAGGCCUAAUAUUAGUCAGUAUAUAGUUUGUUAUAGGUAGCCCUGAUGUGUUCAUAAAUUUGUUACAAAACUCAUGUAAAAAGGAAAUAAGCUUGGUAAAGUUACAAUAAUGAGUGAAUUAGUAGAUAAUAGGCGUAGAUCAGAAGGAUUAACUUAAGAGUUUUGAUUGUAAUAAUUAAUUAAAAAUGAUACUUUGUAAAGAUCUCGGCAAAAUUAUUUCUUCGAAUGUUUAACAAAAACAUUGCCCUCUGUUGUUAUGGGGGGUAAUUUCUGCCCGGUGCUGUGCGCAGUAAACGGCUGCAUUAGCGUGAGUGUACAAAGGUAGCGAGGUAAUUUGUCUCUUAAUUGGUGACGAGACAUGAACGAAGAUACGGGGAAAUGCUGUUUCACAGGGUAUAAAUUUAAUUUUACAUGUGUGUGAAGAGGCAGACAUUAGUUAGAAGGACGACAAGACCCUAAAAGCUUUAUCUUGGGGUGCUAGAAUACUAGUUCCUUCUGGUUUUGUUGGGGCAACAGGUGAAAGGAAAAGUGCUCCCCCUUUUUAAGUUAUAUAGCUGAGUAUUUGGCUUAAAGUUCAGUCGUGUAAAAAUAACCACUUUUGUUUAGUGUUAAUUAAAUAUCACAAAAGUGAAAAUGAGUAGUUACUUUAGGGAUAACAGCGUAAUUUUUCUUUAUAGUUCGUAUUGAAAGAGAAGAUUGCGACCUCGAUGUUGGAUUAAGGUGACCAGAGGGUGUAGGGGCCCUCUAAGGUUGGUUUGUUCGCCCAUAAAAACCCUUACAUGAUCUGAGUUCAGACCGGCGUAAGCUAGGUCAGUUUCUAUCCUCUAAUUAAAGAUGUGUUCAGGUUGGUACGAAAGGAUUUCUUGAUCUUGCUUUAUAGCAAAUAUUUAGGUUAAGGAAGUGUUUUGUCUUGAAAACAAAAUGAAAGCAAGUAUAUUUGCUUAUUAAUCUGG